Molecule: long non-coding RNA, 578 nt
Organism: Drosophila montana
Lineage: Eukaryota; Metazoa; Arthropoda; Insecta; Diptera; Drosophilidae
Exons: 2
Source: RefSeq, a predicted model, not a curated record
UGCUAUAUUCAAAUUGAAUUGUCAAAUAUUUCGGUAUUUGUACGCUUUUCGUCUGCUUAAAUCUGCGCAAUUUCCAUGGAGUUGAAUUACAUUUCGGUCACUUUUCCACUUUUCCGUGUUUCUGCUAAUUUGGGCAACCAUUGAAUAUGCACACCAAUACCACAGCAGAUACUCACACACACGCAGAUAGAGAGAGAGAGAAAAUACAGUUAGACGGCAACGGCAACGGCAAUGGAUGCGCAUCGUAAUGGCGGCAGCGGGUGGAUUUACGGCUGGAUGGUCGGUUGGCAGCCAAAGGCCGUCGACAGUCGACAGUCGGCUGUCCGAUGUCCGAUGUCCACACGGUCCGGAGUCCGCCAUGGGUAGCCGGUGGUGUUUGCUUGCCGGCAGCAAUAACCCUUUUUCACACACACACACACACACAAACACACUUGCACACUCGCACACACACUGUGUUGGCUUUGUGUUGGUGCUCGCCCACACCCGCCAUGUCGGACGCAGUGCGCCUGCCUGUCCGCCAUCGCCAUCGGCCCGCCACCCAAGAACCCAUCUCAUUAAAUAAUUCUGACCAUUUGAAA